Molecule: ribosomal RNA, 489 nt
Filed under: uncultured bacterium
Lineage: Bacteria
Description: partial 16S ribosomal RNA
Rfam family: Bacterial small subunit ribosomal RNA
Source: RNAcentral
AUUGAACGCUGGCGGCAGGCCUAACACAUGCAAGUCGAACGGUAACAGGAAGAAGCUUGCUUCUUUGCUGACGAGUGGCGGACGGGUGAGUAAUGUCUGGGAAACUGCCUGGUGGAGGGGGAUAACUACUGGAAACGGUAGCUAAUACCGCAUAACGUCGCAAGACCAAAGAGGGGGACCUUCGGGCCUCUUGCCAUCGGAUGUGCCCAGAUGGGAUUAGCUAGUAGGUGGGGUAACGGCUCACCUAGGCGACGAUCCCUAGCUGGUCUGGGAGGAUGACCAGCCAAACGGGAAAUGAGACAGGGGCCAGACCCCUACGGGGGGCAGAAGUGGGGAAAAUUGCAAAAUGGGCGGAAGCCUGAGGCAGCCAUGCCGGGGGUAAGAAGAAGGCCUUCGGGUUGUAAAGUACUUUCAGGGGGGAGGAAGGGAAGAAAGUUAAUACCUUUGCUCAUUGACGUUACCCGGAGAAGAAGCACCGGCUAACUCCGG